GGGGCAUUAGCUCAAUUGGUAGAGCGCCGCCUUUGCAAGGCGGAGGUCAGGGGUUCGAUUCCCCUAUGCUCCA
Molecule: transfer RNA, 73 nt
Filed under: Lawsonella clevelandensis
Lineage: Bacteria; Bacillati; Actinomycetota; Actinomycetes; Mycobacteriales; Lawsonellaceae
Also listed under: 2 other names
Rfam family: tRNA
About the family: Transfer RNA (tRNA) molecules are approximately 80 nucleotides in length. Their secondary structure includes four short double-helical elements and three loops (D, anti-codon, and T loops).
Source: Rfam by way of RNAcentral